RNAcentral lists this long non-coding RNA (2926 nucleotides) under Homo sapiens (human). RNAcentral's name for it is "HSALNT0119126". Lineage: Eukaryota; Metazoa; Chordata; Mammalia; Primates; Hominidae. The record is from RNAcentral.
GAACAUAUGACAGCUUCUUCAAGGCUGGCCCCAGGAGGUUUUACCCCUUGAGCCAGUCCAUGUCAGUCUUCAACAGUUUGUCAAUUCCCUGCUCCGUACCUGAAAAGGUACAACAAGGAGGGAUGAAGAAAGAUCACUGACCAGAAAUAAAAUUGGGAGUUUAGACAAUUAAAUUAUCUGGACAUUUUAAUUCCUGAACUACGACUAGGCUACAACAUGCGGACUGCUGUAGAUGUCACCCAGGAACAGAAAAUAACUAGCCUCGUGAGAAAGUUUUGAAUGGGCAAAAGGGAAAUUGAAUACAAUUGUUUUUUGCUUGCACCAUAUAGAGGCGUAUUCUUUCUAUGUACAGUGAUAGGAAACUGGUGGUGUUUGACAUCAUCCAAAAACAGGGCCCAUUUUUUGAAUCAUAAAUUAUCUUCAUGAACACACCCAUUGCCUUCAACAUACAGCCUAAGUCUCAUACUUUCUAAAAUAUCUCCGGUACCUGCUCCAGUUCUCAGUGAUCACCAAUUCCUUUGUCCUCCAAUAACAUAAAUUUCUUUUCUACCUUGUACUUAGAAUUCUGUUCAAACUAUCUUGUUGUAUUCAAAAUAAUUUUAACGAGCUAUAGUUGACAUAACAUAUUUAGUUAUCUAUCUAUGUAUCUGUCAUCUAUCAAUCAUCUGAUGAGAAUUUAUCAUUACACUCAAGAUAAUGAGCUCAGACAUGAUUCCCAAAUAUUUUCUCAUCAGGCUUUGUAAUUCUUCCCUCUCAACACUCCCCAGCAUCCCCCAAACCCAAUAAACCACUAAUCUGCUUUCAGUCACUAUAGAUUCAUUUAUAUUUUCUGAAAUUUUAUAUACAAUGGAAUCAUUCACUAUGAACUCUUUUUCAUCUGACGUCUUAUAUUCAGCAUAAUUAUUUUCAUAUGUUUCCGUGUUGCAGAGUAUAAUUUCGUUACAUAGAUAUUCUAUCUUAUUUAUCAAUUUACAUUUUUGUAAAGAUUGUGAAAUAAAAAUAAAAUCCUAAGCCCUGCAACUGACUGAGCAGACACCUGUUGCCCAAGAAGACUCCAGAAAAACUUUGAAAAAUUGAGUUUCCUGGUCAUGACAAGGUGGGAGGUUGAGUACCUCUUGGUGUACCUCAUUCCUUGCCAAUCUUUACUAGAUUAUUUUCUAAGGGUUAAACAGAAACUGGCCCUGGAAAAAUAAAGAAAUGAAAACUCACUCCUUUGCUGAUUUCAGCCAACUGCUGGACACUGCAGCUGGAAUCCUCUCCCUUCUUGUAGUUUCUACACAGCAGCUCACCAGUUUCAUAGCACAUUCCUUUCUGAUUUUUUACUACCAGCCAUGGACUGGUUCUGGCCAGAUACAGAGGCUGCCCACAAGAUGUCUGUCAUCUUUUAAUGUAUACAGCCUAAUUUUAAUACAUUUAAAUGUUAAUUCUCCAUCCUAAAGUGAACAUGUGACAUAUGUAAUAUGUAUGUUUGCUUACUAGCAUAUGUGUGUCCCUUGUGAAUAUUCAUAACUCUUUUUAUAACUUGUUGAUAUGUAUACUUAGCCAUCCUGUCCAGUAUAAAUUCCUGUCUCAUCCUUCUUCCAUUGAAGUACCUGCUUUUGAUUUCUGCUGGAGGCUAUGCUUCCCAGUCUGCAGGGUGGCCAGCCUGCAGGCGGAAACCCUUUAUAAGAAACAAAGCUCUCCUCUCCAAAUAUAUGGAUCUCAUGAUUUCAAGUCUACAAGACUUAAGUUGUUUUCUUUUCUUUUUUUUUUUUUUUUUUUUUUUUGAGAUGGAGUUUCACUCUUGUGGCCCAGGCUAAAGUGCAAUGGCACGAUCUCAGCUCACUGAAACCUCUGUCUCCUAGGUUCAAGCGAUUCUCCUGCCUUGGCCUCCCAAGUAGUGGAAAUUACAGGCACCUGCCACCAUGCCUAGCUAAUUUUUGAAUUUUUAGUAGAGACGGAGUUUCGCCAUGUUGGCCAGGCUGAUCUCGAGCCCCUGACCUCAGGUGAUUCACCUGCCUCAGCCUACCAAACUGCUGGGAUUACAGGCAUGAGCCAAGGCACCCAGACAGUUUUCAAACUACUGUUAUAAAUAAAGGUGCUGUAAACAUUGGUGUACAAUCUUUAUCUGAACAUCUGUUUUUAUUUCUCAUGAAUAAAUGCCUAGAUGUUAAACGGCAGGAUUAUAAGGUAAUUAUAUGUUAAACUUUCUAAGAAAUUUCUGAACAGUUUUUUCAAUUGCCUGUACAAUUUUUACAUUUCUACCAGUAGUGUAUGAGAAUUUCAGUUGUUUAACUCUCUUACCAAUACUUGUUAUCUAAUUUAACUAUUAUCUGAAUUAUUGUUAUUAUCCAAAUGAAAUUUACUGAUUCUAGUGAGUAGUAAUAUCUCACUGUAGUGUUAAUUUGAAUUUACUUACUCAUGAUGUUGCACAUCUUUUCAUAUGCUGAUUUGCCAUAAAUUGCUGGAUUACAGCUAAUAAAAAUAAACAAAAUGAAAUCAUAAAAAUACUAAAUUAGCCCUAAAGAAAAAAAAAAAGAAAGGAAAGAGGAAGAAGAAAAAAAAAUGGGACAAAUAGAAAACAAUGGGUAAGGAGACAGUAUUAAUUAAUAAUAUCAAUAACCACAUUACAUAUAAAUAGUCUAAAUACUCAAAAGGCAGAUAUUGCUAGAUAAAGUAGCAAGAAUUGCUUAUCACUGCCUUAAAAAACCUAAUUUGAGUAUAUAGAUAGCAAUGGGGUAGAAAUAACUGAAUGGGAAAAUAUAUACUAAUAUUAAUGAAAAAAUGCUAAAAUGACUACAGUAAUUUUAGACAGAGUGGGUUUCAGAGAUAAAAAAUAUUCAAAGGAGCCACUGAAAACUAUUUAACUUCCAUCUAUAAUGUUUAUUUUUUCUAGUGUUGCUUUAUGCUAAAAGAACAUUUUAAUUUAUUGCACUUGACUUGUUAA